This 459-nucleotide ribosomal RNA is filed under the name uncultured bacterium. RNAcentral describes it as "SSU rRNA". It matches the Rfam family "Bacterial small subunit ribosomal RNA", at positions 26 to 518 of the family's 1533-position model. The record is from RNAcentral.
AGAAUCAACGCUGGCGGCGUGCCUAACACAUGCAAGUCGAACGAGAAAGUGGAGCAAUCCAUGAGUAAAGUGGCGCACGGGUGAGUAACACGUGACUAACCUACCCUUGAGUGGGGAAUAACUUCGGGAAACCGAGGCUAAUACCGCAUAACACCUACGGGUCAAAGGAGCAAUUCGCUUAAGGAGGGGGUCGCGGCAGAUUAGUUAGUUGGCGGGGUAAUGGCCCACCAAGACGGUGAUCUGUAUCCGGCCUGAGAGGGCGCACGGACACACUGGAACUGAAACACGGUCCAGACUCCUACGGGAGGCAGCAGUGGGGAAUUUGCGCAAUGGGGGAAACCCUGACGCAGCAACGCCGCGUGGAGGAUGAAGUCCCUUGGGACGUAAACUCCUUUCGAUCGGGACGAUUAUGACGGUACCGGAAGAAGAAGCCCCGGCUAACUUCGUGCCAGCAGCCGC